This 530-nucleotide ribosomal RNA is filed under the name Eurema aff. laeta A SSG-2014. RNAcentral's name for it is "partial 16S ribosomal RNA". The stretch from base 393 to 530 matches the Rfam family "Archaeal large subunit ribosomal RNA", at positions 2542 to 2679 of the family's 2987-position model. The record is from RNAcentral. Lineage: Eukaryota; Metazoa; Arthropoda; Insecta; Lepidoptera; Pieridae.
AAAACAUGUCUUUUUGUAAAUAAUAAAAAGUUUAAUUUGCCCACUGAAUUUAUUUAAAGGGCUGCAGUAUAUUGACUGUACAAAGGUAGCAUAAUCAAUAGUCUUUUAAUUGAAGACUUGUAUGAAUGAUUUGAUGAAAUAUAAACUGUCUCUUUAUUAAAAAUAAAAUUUAAUUUUUUAGUUAAAAAGCUAAAAUAAUUAUAAAAGACGAGAAGACCCUAUAGAGUUUUAUAUUUAUUUUAUUUAGAAAUUAUUUAUAUAAUUUAAAUAUAUAAUAAUUUAAAUAUUUUAUUGGGGUGAUAGAAAAAUUAAAUAAACUUUUUUUAAAUUUUAACAUUAAUUUAUGAAAUUAUGAUCCAUAAUUUAUGAUUAAAAGAAAAAAUUACCUUAGGGAUAACAGCGUAAUUUUUUUUUUUAGUUCAAAUAAAAAAAAGAGUUUGCGACCUCGAUGUUGGAUUAAGAUAAAAUUUAAAUGCAAAAGUUUAAAAUUUUUGAUCUGUUCGAUCAUUAAAAUCUUACAUGAUCUGAGC